This is a long non-coding RNA of Triticum dicoccoides, 2133 nucleotides long. RefSeq lists it as uncharacterized. The record is from RefSeq and is a predicted model, not a curated record. NCBI's taxonomy places the organism in Eukaryota, Viridiplantae, Streptophyta, Magnoliopsida, Poales, Poaceae. The transcript is spliced from 3 exons.
UGGCUGGUAUAUUAUAAAUUUGGAAUAAUGUAGGGAUAAUGCUAUCACACAUUUGUUUUCGGCAGUAACUGCAAGUAUAAUUUUGUUUUCGGAAUAGUGCUGCCUUGCUGUCACGGCUUCUGUGGAAGUGUCCAAUCAAGUGGACUUCUUUGCUGUUUGAUCAUGAUAUUUAUCAUCCUACAUAAUAGUCUGAGGUGCCAGCUAUGUGACUUCUUUGCUGUUUGAUCACGAUAUUUAUCAUCCUACAUAAUAGUCUGAGGUGCCAGUUACGUCCCCUAAAUAUUUCAUGUUAGCAAACAUUUCAUUGUACGUUAGAAUAUUAUCGUACGGGUUAGCAAACAUUUCGUUACUAUAUUAUCGUACGGGUUCGCUGCUGAUUGAAUCCGAGCGAUCCCUUGUCCAACUGCUGACUAUAUCUGAGUAAAUAUAGGUAAAUGUGUUUGUGAGGGCUCGAAAAUUUAGUUUACGUUGUUAGACAUAUUCAUGUCAUUGUUCCGCAAUUCCAUGUCAUAGGAAAAGAUGAAAUUAUUAUCCAAGCACACAUUAAAUACCAAUGAUCUGCCUUAGAUAUGACCACCAGAAAAUACAUGAUUCUCAUUUAUAGCUGCACCCCUUAUGAAUGAGCGUCAAUGAUCGAACUGUUUCUUCUGAGUCAUCCUUUCUGAUUCUGCGAAAAAGAGGUACAUGUGCAUUUGGUCAAAGAAUAAUCUAUUAUAUCACAUUAACUAGAAAAUUAUAUAAGUUAAGUUGAACUUUUAUAGGUAUUAUUUUGUACUAGUUACUAGGACAUGUUAUUUCAAGGCUGGCAAUGUGCGAAAUGUUCUCAAUCUUGUGGUCAGAUGAUGAAAUGUGGCAUAUCUCGGUGUCUAUCUGUGUAUUAAAAAUAUAUGAAACUAUAUCAUUCUUCUUUGGCAGCAUUUUGGAUCCUAAACUGAUAUCCUGUCUAGUACUGAGUUGGCAUAGAAAUGCAUCACGCAUUGUUCAGAAUAUGACUUUUUUCUUCUUCCAAAAAUCAGUUUUUGAACUGAAUAAUGCUAUGCUAAUUCUUCAUAGAUGAAAAAACCCUACAUGUUAUUUCGAGUAACAACAAUCAAGGUCUUUCAUAUUAUCUAUUUUUUAGAAUCUCUUUCAUACUAUGUGAUUUUAUAGUUUCAUUCUCAUCUUUUUUAUUUAUUAAAAUGAUGUUCUCCUGGGCUUCAUUAACGAAGUUCAUUCUCAUCGGAUAUUGUAUGUCCGUGAUGGAUUGUGUAGUGCCAUGCAAAGAAUCAUUCCUGUAUCUGAACGAUACGCACUGCCAUAUAAGCUGCAAAUAGAAACACUCAUAGAUUAUAACUGUGCAUAUAAUCUAACAGAUAUGCAGUCACCAAGACACUCACAGAAAUAUCUAUCUACGCAUUAUUUCAGUGAUCAUGCUGGAGUGGAACUGCUGUUGGCAUCUUUUAGCUUCUUUACACACUUUCUGAUGCAAAUGUGUGCUGUUAGUUUUAUCUGCAUACUUUGUAUUUCUAAACUAGUGAUGGUCAAUGGUGAAAAUAAUUUACUAGUCUUAAAGAGUAUUGCAGGUCAACAACAUGCAAGUUUCUUUCAGUUGGCACCACAUGGACUUUAUGUUUAAUACUAUUCCUUGCACACAUGCAUGAAUUUGGUUCAUACCUGACAGCUGAGCUGUAACGCCGAAGUCUUCCGCAGCGACCACCUGCCCCGCCACCGUUUCGUGGAACAUUCCCACCGAUGUUAUCCUAUGGCACUGGCGAUGCUCCUGCUCUAUCUGCAAGUAAAUUCUGAAGGCAACAUGGAUCCAGAGCUUCCCCACGUCACAGUGAUAAUGGUCACCUCUUGAUUCCUGCCUGGAAUGAAAAUGACGGGAGGGGCUCUGUAUCCUAAACUGGCCAGAAACGAGUUGAAACGCUAAUCCAAACGGGGCCUAACAGUGUGACGAUCUAACUUUCGAUAAAACAAGCUGCUCUUCAUUCGCUAGUGAUGUUUCAAGACAAAUCAUGAAACUGCAAGCAUUGGUUUUCAUUCUACAUUACAUCAGACAUCAUCAGAUGUAAUUCGGAAUAGCACUGCCUUGCUGUCUCGGCUUCUGUGGAAGUGCCCCAAUGAAGUGGACUUCUUUGCAGGUUUUAUUAC